CCUACGGGCGGCAGCAGUGAGGAAUAUUGGUCAAUGGACGGAAGUCUGAACCAGCCAUGCCGCGUGCAGGAAGACGGCUCUAUGAGUUGUAAACUGCUUUUGUACAAGGGUAAACCUGAAUACGUGUAUUCAGCUGAAAGUACUGUACGAAUAAGGAUCGGCUAACUCCGUGCCAGCAGCCGCGGUAAUACGGAGGAUCCAAGCGUUAUCCGGAUUUAUUGGGUUUAAAGGGUGCGUAGGCGGGUUGAUAAGUUAGAGGUGAAAUGUCCGAGCUUAACUCGGGAACUGCCUCUAAUACUGUUGGUCUAGAGUGUAGAUGCGGUAGGCGGAAUGUAUGGUGUAGCGGUGAAAUGCUUAGAGAUCAUACAGAACACCGAUUGCGAAGGCAGCUUACCAAUCUAUAUCUGACGUUGAGGCACGAAAGCGUGGGGAGCAAACAGGAUUAGAUACCCGAGUAGUC
RNAcentral lists this ribosomal RNA (460 nucleotides) under uncultured bacterium. RNAcentral describes it as "partial 16S ribosomal RNA". It matches the Rfam family "Bacterial small subunit ribosomal RNA", at positions 338 to 795 of the family's 1533-position model. The record is from RNAcentral.